RNAcentral lists this ribosomal RNA (301 nucleotides) under uncultured bacterium. RNAcentral's name for it is "partial 16S ribosomal RNA". It matches the Rfam family "Bacterial small subunit ribosomal RNA", at positions 509 to 807 of the family's 1533-position model. The record is from RNAcentral.
CAGCAGCCGCGGUAAUACGGAGGGGGCUAGCGUUGUUCGGAAUUACUGGGCGUAAAGCGCACGUAGGCGGACUGGAAAGUCAGAGGUGAAAUCCCAGGGCUCAACCUUGGAACUGCCUUUGAAACUAUCAGUCUGGAGUUCGAGAGAGGUGAGUGGAAUUCCGAGUGUAGAGGUGAAAUUCGUAGAUAUUCGGAGGAACACCAGUGGCGAAGGCGGCUCACUGGCUCGAUACUGACGCUGAGGUGCGAAAGCGUGGGGAGCAAACAGGAUUAGAGACCCCCGUAGUCCCUGUCUCUUAUAC